RNAcentral lists this ribosomal RNA (370 nucleotides) under uncultured bacterium. RNAcentral describes it as "bacterial SSU rRNA". It matches the Rfam family "Bacterial small subunit ribosomal RNA", at positions 28 to 390 of the family's 1533-position model. The record is from RNAcentral.
GAUGAACGCUAGCGGCAGGCUUAAUACAUGCAAGUCGAGGGGCAGCACGGGUAGCAAUACCUGGUGGCGACCGGCAAACGGGUGCGGAACACGUACGCAACCUUCCCAUAACUGGUGAAUAGCCUUCCGAAAGGGAGAUUAAUACACCGUAACAUAACGAGGUGGCAUCACUUUGUUAUUAUAGGCUUCGGCCGGUUUUGGAUGGGCGUGCGCCUGAUUAGGUAGUUGGCGGGGUAACGGCCCGACCAAGCCUCGCGAUCAGUAACUGGUGUGAGAGCACGACCAGUCACACGGGCACUGAGACACGGGCCCGACCUCCUACGGGAGGCAGCAGUAAGGAAUAUUGGUCAAUGGACGAAAGUCUGAACCA